GACGAACGCUGGCGGCGUGCUUAAUACAUGCAAGUCGAACGCAGUGGCGAACGGGUGAGUAAUACGUGGGUAACCUUCCCUCAUCUAUGGGAUAAGCCUUGGUAACGGGGUCUAAUACCGACUACGGGGGGAUGGGCUAGCGGCCGAUCGGCGGGGUGGUGGGUUGAUGGCCUACCAAGGCGGUGACGGGUAGCCGGCCUGAGAGGGAGAACGGGCACUGUGGGACGGGGAAGCGGCCCAGAGUAGGACGCGGGGGAGAAGUGGGGGAUAUUGACCAAAGGGCGAAAGCGUGAUGCAGCGACGCUGCGUAGGGGAUGAAGGUUUUAGGGUUGUAAACUUAGUGAGGUACCGAAAGGGUAGGUGGAGAAGAAGCGACGGCUAACUACGUGCCAGCAGCCGCGGUAAUUC
RNAcentral lists this ribosomal RNA (408 nucleotides) under uncultured bacterium. RNAcentral's name for it is "partial 16S ribosomal RNA". It matches the Rfam family "Bacterial small subunit ribosomal RNA", at positions 28 to 526 of the family's 1533-position model. The record is from RNAcentral.